This 247-nucleotide unclassified non-coding RNA is filed under the name plant metagenome. RNAcentral describes it as "partial contains small subunit ribosomal RNA, internal transcribed spacer 1, and 5.8S ribosomal RNA". The stretch from base 1 to 54 matches the Rfam family "Eukaryotic small subunit ribosomal RNA", at positions 1778 to 1831 of the family's 1831-position model. The record is from RNAcentral.
GGAAGCAAAAGUCGUAACAAGGUUUCCGUAGGUGAACCUGCGGAAGGAUCAUUAACAAAUCAUGAAUGGCGGUAGUCGGGGCUCGCGCCGGUAACAUGGCGCAGUCCCCCUCCCCACAUUGACUCGGGCUCGGCUUACCACCCCCCAAGGGGGUAGGCCGAGUCCUGAGACAUUCACGCUUGCUGUGUUUGACUGUUAUAUGAUGUUGGCAAAAAGACAACUUUUAACAAUGGAUCUCUUGGCUCUU